Molecule: long non-coding RNA, 1503 nt
Organism: Trifolium pratense (red clover)
Lineage: Eukaryota; Viridiplantae; Streptophyta; Magnoliopsida; Fabales; Fabaceae
Exons: 8
Source: RefSeq, a predicted model, not a curated record
CGAACCCAGUAAACCCUUCCUUAGAACCAUUAUUCUUCUUCAUCGCAACAAUCUUCUUCUUCUUCUUCUUCUUCAAUGCAAACAAUCUUCUUUUUUUCACUGCAAUCAAUCGAAUUCUUUAUUGCACCUUCAUCACCUUCGAACCAUUCGUAAAGUGAAACCCUAACUUUCAUAGAAAUUGAACUGCUUUACUCAAACUUGAAAAUUCGAACCGUUCCUUCGCUGAAAACUUGGAAAUUCGAACCGUUCCCUUCACCCAUUGAUAUGGAACUGAUCGACGUACCGCGAGAGAUCUGGAAGAGAAGAUUGAGAAUAUGGGUGGACAUCUUAAUGCUUAUACUUCGAGGGAGCAGACUACUUAUUAUGCUAAAGUUUCGCAGAAUGAUGUACCUAAUGCACUUGAUAUUCUGGCUGAUAUUCUGUGUUUAUUGCAGUUAUUUUCAAUCUCUUAAUCUCUCGGAUGUUUGAGCUAAUUGUGGACUAAUCGUCUCGGAGGUUUGAGCUAGAAUCAUUAGUGUCUGGGCUGUGCAGAAUUUUCUGUCUCUCGCAGUCUCGCUUCAAUUUCUCUCUUGAUCAUUAUGGCAUCGUGGGGUAAUAGAAAGCAAUAUGAGGCUCAAAUACUUACGAAGGAAAAUUAUGUUUCACUACAAUAGUUUUGAUCUAUGGCAGCACCGCUUUUCUUCCGUUUAUGUUAUUGAGGUUUCCUAAUCUAUAAAAACAUUAGUACAUGUUCAGCUUCAUCAAAGGGAGUUCUAUUUUCACCCUUAUUGUCUUGAUAUGUAUUGUACUUUAUAAGAUGGAGGAGGAAUGUGAAAUGUAUAGAGGGGAGGCUCACAAGGCACCCAUCCUAGCAGCUAUAAAAUUGGGAAUGUGGUCCUUCUGUUCUAUUUUGCAAAAAUGUGAGAUUUCCAUUGAGCAAAAGUGUGUAUGGUGUAGAACCAUCUGAAAGUGCAGUACUGAGAAUAGAGGAAAAUCAGGCAAACAUCAAAUCCAAGGGAUUGGUGUUGGCAUCGUUCCGCCUGUCUUGGAAGUUGGUCUCCUAAAAGAAGUUAUUCAGGUUUUAUGAACGAUACAUGUUUCAAGUGAAGAAGCUAUAGAAACUACUAAGUUGCUUGCCUUGAAAGAAGGUUUACUGUUCAGGACAUUUUCUCAUGAAGGAGAAAACUUCUCAUUCUCAAGCAUGGUUUAUCUAUUCAUGGGUUCCAAAUGUCAUUGUUGCUAAGAAGUAAGAAAACAGAAAAUCCACCUCAAGCAUUAGCGAAAGAAGCAAUUGUUGAUGAGAGAUAUGAGUUAUCUCUUUUUUUAAUCAUCUUAUUUUAAUUAUCAUUUGAUUGUGAUAUUAUAUUUCUAUUGCAAGUUUUUAUUUUGAUAAUGAUUAAAAGUUUCGUAACAUUGUUGAUAGUGACAUGUGUUAAAAGACAAGGCUUGGUGAUAUUUCUUAUCUCUUUCACCUUGUCUUAGUGUUGUUUAUUACUUGUGAAUGUUAUAUUUUACUUUUGUUUC